UCGGGGCAUAACAUCUUUAUAGGAUGGA
RNAcentral lists this non-coding RNA (28 nucleotides) under Homo sapiens (human). The record is from RNAcentral. Lineage: Eukaryota; Metazoa; Chordata; Mammalia; Primates; Hominidae.